RNAcentral lists this ribosomal RNA (1097 nucleotides) under Acartia tonsa. RNAcentral's name for it is "bacterial SSU rRNA". It matches the Rfam family "Eukaryotic small subunit ribosomal RNA", at positions 696 to 1798 of the family's 1831-position model. Lineage: Eukaryota; Metazoa; Arthropoda; Copepoda; Calanoida; Acartiidae. The record is from RNAcentral.
UGGAGGGAAAGACAAAGUCAAUUGACUUUCAAAGGUUGAUUGAGCUGGGUCUGUGUUUACUUUGAAAAAACAAGAGUGCUAAAGGCAGGCGGCCAGUCGGAAUAGUUGUGCAUGGAAUAAUAUAACAAGGAGUUGUGUUUGUUAUGUUGGUCUCAAACGUAACUUGAUGAUAAAUAGAGACUGACGGGGGCAUAUGUAUUCAAGCGCUAGAGGUGAAAUUCUUGGACCGCUUGAAGACAUCCAAAAGCGAAAGCAUAUGCCAAGUAUGUUUUCAUUGAUCAAGAACGAAAGUUAGAGGAUCGAAGGCGAUUAGAUACCGCCCUAGUUCUAACCAUAAACGAUGCCAACCAGUAAUCUGUCGCAUGUCUAUUGACGUGGUGACAGGCGACUUUUGGAAACUAAAGUUAUUUGGUUCCAGGGGAAGUAUGGUUGCAAAGCUGAAACUUAGAGUAAUUGACGGAAGGGCACCACCAGGAGUGGAGCUUGUGGCUUAAUUUGACUCAACACGGGAAAACUUACCAGGCCAGAACACUAGAAGGAUUGACAGACUAAGGGCUCUUUCUUGAUUUGGUGGUUGGUGGUGCAUGGCCGUUCUUAGUUGGUGGAGUGAUCUGUCUGGUUAAUUCCGAUAACGAACGAGACUCUCACUUACCAAUAAGAACACUGUUUCCAAAUUGAAGUCGGGUGGAAACAAACACUAAUCUUGAAGAUAUGUGUCUUCUUGGAAGGGUUAGUUAAGCCAAGUGGCUAAAGAAAGAGCAAUAACAGGUCUGUGAUGCCCUUAGAUGUUCUGGGCCGCACACGUGCUACAAUUGAAUAUACAACCCGUCCCUGGUUCGAAAGAGCUAGGCAAACGGUUAAUAUAUUUAACAGUCGGGAUUGUCGCUUGAAAGUGUUCGACAUGAACCUGGAAUUCCUAGUAAAGGCCAGUCAAUAGCUGGUCUUGAUUGAGUCCCUGCCCUUUGUACACACCGCCCGUCGCUACUACCGAUUGAAUGUCUUAGUGAGAACCAUGGAAGGCACCCUCGUUCUUGGAAACUGGGGAGCUUGAAGUGCUUCAAACUGUGUCAUUUAGAGGAAGUAAAAGUCGUAACAAG